UGGGGAAUAUUGGACAAUGGGCGAAAGCCUGAUCCAGCCAUGCCGCGUGUGUGAAGAAGGUCUUCGGAUUGUAAAGCACUUUAAGUUGGGAGGAAGGGCAGUAAGCGAAUACCUUGCUGUUUUGACGUUACCGACAGAAUAAGCACCGGCUAACUCUGUGCCAGCAGCCGCGGUAAUACAGAGGGUGCAAGCGUUAAUCGGAAUUACUGGGCGUAAAGCGCGCGUAGGUGGUUCGUUAAGUUGAAUGUGAAAGACCCGGGCUCAACCUGGGAACUGCAUACAAAACUGGCGAGCUAGAGUAGGGCAGAGGGUGGUGGAAUUUCCUGGGUAGCGGUGAAAUGCGUAGAUAUAGGAAGGAACACCAGUGGCGAAGGCGACCACCUGGGCUCAUACUGACACUGAGGUGCGAAAGCGUGGGGAGCAAACAGG
Molecule: ribosomal RNA, 429 nt
Filed under: Pseudomonadota bacterium
Lineage: Bacteria; Pseudomonadati; Pseudomonadota
Description: Proteobacteria bacterium partial 16S ribosomal RNA
Rfam family: Bacterial small subunit ribosomal RNA
Source: RNAcentral